RNAcentral lists this ribosomal RNA (253 nucleotides) under uncultured bacterium. Its description in RNAcentral is "partial 16S ribosomal RNA". It matches the Rfam family "Bacterial small subunit ribosomal RNA", at positions 524 to 776 of the family's 1533-position model. The record is from RNAcentral.
UACGAAGGGGGCUAGCGUUGCUCGGAAUUACUGGGCGUAAAGGGAGCGUAGGCGGACAUUUAAGUCAGGGGUGAAAUCCCGAGGCUCAACCUCGGAACUGCCUUUGAUACUGGGUGUCUUGAGUGUGAGAGAGGUGAGUGGAACUCCGAGUGUAGAGGUGAAAUUCGUAGAUAUUCGGAAGAACACCAGUGGCGAAGGCGACAUACUGGCUCAUUACUGACGCUGAGGCUCGAAAGCGUGGGGAGCAAACAGG